CCCACCUGGGGAGUACGCCGGCAACGGUGAAACUCAAAGGAAUUGACGGGGGCCCGCACAAGCGGAGGAACAUGUGGUUUAAUUCGAUGAUACGCGAGGAACCUUACCCGGGCUUGAAUUGCAGAGGAAGAAUUUAGAGAUAAUGACGCCCUUCGGGGUCUCUGUGAAGGUGCUGCAUGGUUGUCGUCAGCUCGUGCCGUGAGGUGUCGGCUUAAGUGCCAUAACGAGCGCAACCCCUCUCUUCAGUUGCCAUCAGGUGAUGCUGGGCACUCUGGAGACACUGCCACCGUAAGGUGUGAGGAAGGUGGGGAUGACGUCAAAUCAGCACGGCCCUUACGUCCGGGGCUACACACGUGUUACAAUGGCCGGUACAGAGGGAGGGUGUAAUGUAAAUUGCAUCAAAUCUUGAAAGCCGGUCCCAGUUCGGACUGGGGUCUGCAACCCGACCCCACGAAGCUGGAUUCGCUAGUAAUCGCGCAUCAGCCAUGGCGCGGUGAAUACGUUCCCGGGCCUUGUACACACCGCCCGUCAAGCCAUGAAAGCCGGGGGUGCCUGAAGUCCGUGACCGCAAGGAUCGGCCUAGGCAAAAAAACCUUGG
Molecule: ribosomal RNA, 598 nt
Filed under: uncultured bacterium
Lineage: Bacteria
Description: bacterial SSU rRNA
Rfam family: Bacterial small subunit ribosomal RNA
Source: RNAcentral